CUUCAUUCUUGAAGUCAGUGAGACCAAGCACCAACCAAUUCGGGACACAAUACCAACUCUUUCAUGCCAUGAGAAGCCUCCUUAAAAAAUUUCUGUGAUGAACAGGAACACAGAGGAAAACAAAGAAAAUUCAAGGAACUAAAUUCCCUCUCCACCUCAACCACCAGCAUUGAUACUCCAUCACUUAUGUACUGCAUCAAGCUGUCCUCAGAGGUGAGGAAGGUGCUGUCAAGACUAGAAGCAUGUGUCCCUCUCUCCAUUGCAAGAUGGGACAUAGAGAGGAGAAAAGUGGCAGACAGAAGGCUAAUCUCAACUGGAAACCAGAAGGCUAGAAAUCUUACUGAUGUGAUGUCCAGGGAUACAGAGCAUAUGAAGGAUGCGGAGAGUGGGUCAAAUGGAAGGAAUGUAGCAAAACAUGUAAACUUGAUUCUCUUGAUGACUAUUACGAAGGUAUAUGAAGAGGCAGUUGCCUUGGGAAGCUAGUGAAGCCAAAACCCCAGAGCUUCUCGCUUGCGUAGACUCCUGUGAGGGCUGGGAAUUUCUGUCAUGGAAUGUUCCAGAUGAGGAGGGGAAGCCCAGCUGCACUCAGGACACACUUCUAUGUAAGCAAUUCUAGUACAUUGUGCAGAAAUAUCUAGAAGCAAGGCACCCAAAUCUCCCAGCUUCCAAUAAUUUAUCAGAAUUUUUCUUCUGAUGGUGAGUAUUUACUCUUGUCCCCAAUUUUGUAUUUGUAGUUUUUAAAUUCAUUUUUCUAAAGGGGGCCUGUGUUAUAUACAGUUUUUAUGUGGCAGUUGAUCUUGCCGUCUCACUAAAGUUGGAAAGUCCUUUGGGACUGAAAUUGUGUUUUAUACUUUCUCUGUUUCCCAUGCCUGGGAUACAACUGAGCUCAUGGAGGAAGCCAAGCUAAUGUUCUGGCCUUCAGUUCCCUGCAUGGAUCAAAACUGGUUUGGGAGGUUGUAAAGCUUUUUGGGAAAUUACUUGUCCCUUUGUGGUACUUGAGGAUUUAGAGUGCCAUACCCAACAUACUGCUUUAAAACUAAAAGAAGGUUUUUU
RNAcentral lists this long non-coding RNA (1053 nucleotides) under Pan troglodytes (chimpanzee). Its description in RNAcentral is "long non-coding RNA NONPTRT013235". The record is from RNAcentral. Lineage: Eukaryota; Metazoa; Chordata; Mammalia; Primates; Hominidae.